Molecule: ribosomal RNA, 477 nt
Filed under: uncultured bacterium
Lineage: Bacteria
Description: partial 16S ribosomal RNA
Rfam family: Bacterial small subunit ribosomal RNA
Source: RNAcentral
GAUGAACGCUGGCGGCGUGCCUAAUACAUGCAAGUCGAGCGAACAGACGAGGAGCUUGCUCCUCUGACGUUAGCGGCGGACGGGUGAGUAACACGUGUAUAACCUACCUAUAAGACUGGUAUAACUUCGGGACACCGGAGCUUAUACCGGAGAAUAUCUUGAUCCGCAUGGGUCAAUAGUGAGAUACGGUGUUGUUGUCGCUUGUGGAUGGAUUUGCGCCGCAUUAGCUUGUUGGUGGGGUAAUGGCUUAUCAAGGCUUUGAUGGGUAGCCGGCGUGAGAGGGUGACCGGCCACAUUGGGACUGAGAUACGGCCCAGAGUCCUACGGGAGGAAGCAGUGGGGAAUAGUGCACAAUGGGCGGAAGCCUGAUGCAGCAACGCCGCGUGCGGGAUGACGGCCUUCGGGUUGUAAACCGCUGUCGCCUGUGACGAAGCGUGAGUGACGGUAAUGGGUAAAGAAGCACCGGCUAACUACGUG